This is a regulatory RNA element of Frankia alni, 76 nucleotides long. It matches the Rfam family "SAH (S-adenosyl-L-homocysteine) riboswitch aptamer". NCBI's taxonomy places the organism in Bacteria, Bacillati, Actinomycetota, Actinomycetes, Frankiales, Frankiaceae. The record is from Rfam.
CAGGUCGAGAGGCGCUGCAACGGACCCAGGUCCGCCACGCUCGGCCCGCACCGGUCACCAAGGGCGCCUCCCACAA